Molecule: long non-coding RNA, 206 nt
Filed under: Lathyrus oleraceus (garden pea)
Lineage: Eukaryota; Viridiplantae; Streptophyta; Magnoliopsida; Fabales; Fabaceae
Description: Pisum sativum (pea) long non-coding RNA (PSAT_LNC007307)
Source: RNAcentral
AUGAACUCAACCCUCUUCAGCUAUAAAUAAGCAGUCAAUCUCAUUCAUUUGGCAACCUUGUGGAGACCUGAAAUGCUGCAGCACUAAAAUCCCAACCAUUACCAAAGGAAUAUUCAUAUUUUUCUCUCUUUUUCAAGCUUGAAAUUCAAAAUCAUUAGUUGAUUUUCAAAGCUCAAUUCUUUAGCCUCUCAGCUCUAUUACAUCUC